Molecule: small RNA, 453 nt
Filed under: Histoplasma capsulatum var. duboisii H88
Lineage: Eukaryota; Fungi; Ascomycota; Eurotiomycetes; Onygenales; Ajellomycetaceae
Description: Histoplasma capsulatum H88 hypothetical RNA
Source: RNAcentral
GCUCAUCGGGAGAUGUCUCUAGGACUCCACCGUCGAAUCGAUAUCCAGGGAGUUUCAGACUUGACCAAAAAAGCAAAUCUGUGCCAGGGCUGAGUUCAGGAAGAUGCAACCCUAGCGUUGGGACUGUAGCUGCAGACCAGCGAUGCGCAAGAUGACUGGCAGCGGGGGAAUUUGAGGGUCGUAGGUCUUGGAAAAAGCAACCACUGUGCAGUGCGCCGGAAUCUGAUGUUUGGACAAGGACGAGAUUGAGGCGAAAGGGACAAGCAGAGGACGAGGGCAAUGCAACGAGUUGAUAGGAGGAGAGACGGGCAAACCUACGCCGCCAGCUAGGCUUGGAUAUCAGGAUGCUGUCCUCUGUAUGGCGAUGGGCUUCCCCUUUGGGCCCCACAGACGCUCAAUAAUUAUUUACCUCCUCCCAAUUGCCACACGGUUUUCCCACACACUUCCCGGGAC